CCCAGGGGCAAGGGGAACAGUCAGUCUUGGGCAUGCUCAGUAGUGCUCAUGGCUGGGAAGGCCUCUGACCCUUGACCCCAGCUUCUCCCAGGUUAGGCGGGAAAACAGGUUUCUUUGUUCUCCCCUGGUCAAGAGAAACCACACCUAUGCCUUGUCAUUGACCAAUGAGGGUCAUCCCUAUGUACUACGUAGCAAAUGGUAUUUAUGGCCCAGCAAGCUCCGCCUCGCUCUCUCUCCCCCUCUUUCCUCUUUCAGGCUAGGCGAUGGCUGUCCUUGCAGGAGCUUGGCCUCUGGCCAAGCUCCAUCUUUAAUCUUUCUCCUCAAUAAACGACUCCUCUUUGCAUACCAUGUGAGAGCUGUCGGUACCUUCUUUGUCGCUUCCCCUUUCCUUCUCUCUCUCCCCCUCCCCUCUCAGGGGUCGUAAGGGGCUGGUCCCCAGCAUCUGGCGCUCCAACGUGGGGCCCGAGCGACCACCGGACAACUGAGGAAAAGUUCGGCGCCGAAACCGAGGCUACAGUAACGGGUAAGGAUCGGACGAUCCCGAGGAAUGGUAAGUUGUCCCAUUCAUAUCUCCCUCUCAAACCCCAUUGUGUGAAUGGUUGAAUGUAUGUGUGUUUUGAUGGCAACGGAAUAACAAUCCCCUUAUAUAUACGAAGUGCAGUUUCCCUCCCCCACCUGGGUCUGCUAGUCGGAGGCCUCCUCUCUCGGACCUGGAUCUCCGGAGGUUAAGAAACACCUGAGGAGCGGUCUGAGGGGGAGGGGAAGGAAAAAGAAAAUUUGACCCAGGGAAACCCUCACUAGGGGCGAUUGAGAACUCGAAAAAUCUCACUCUGAAACAAACAGUUGUUAGAGCCUAGUGAAUUUCAAAAGGAGCAACUGGGAAAAGAAAAAGCAGGAGUUAAGAUUUCAUCAGGAAAGUGCAAAGUCAAAUUUAUGGCCUCCUAAAACAAAGGCUCCUAGAGCCAGGCUGCUAUUCAUAUGCAAAAGCAGGAAACGCAAGCAGACCAGAAGCAAGGAGCAAGCUAAUCUUCACAGGCAAAUUCCUGGGAUGCUUUUAAAAGGCUUAUCAGGAAGUAACUGCUUUGACUCAAAGCAGGACACUUAAAGGCCUGAAUUAGGUUAAAUUCAGAACAGCCUAGGUUGUAAAAAGAUAUUGCCAUUCUGUAACCAAAGGCAGAAGAUUUUUUUUUAAAAAGGGCAAGCCUCUACACUCAUUUAGCAUUUGAAAAAAGGUCCUAGGAAUUCUUUUGUUUGAGGUCCAGCCAGGUAAAGGCAGGCUUUACCUGGGUGCUGGGAAUUUUAAUUUUAAUUUAGUUUUAAUUCGGGUUGGAUAGGCAAAAUUAUAAAGGAAUGUCUGCUUAUAUUUUUUGAUAAAGGAAGUUAAAAAAGGAGAAUUAAAUAUCUUUCUCUGACUUUUGUUAUAUGCCACAGAAUAUCAGGACUAGAAAUGUUUUAUCUGUAGAGAAAUUUUGGUAUAAAUCACAAGGUAAUUAAAGUGCAAACAGAAAACUUUUAAGGUUUGGGUUUAAAUCUGAAGCAGCUUGAAUUUUUUUCUCUACUGGCCACAUGGCUUGAGCCACGUGGAAGAUAGCAUCAGAGCAACUGAGGUUCCAAGUUUUUUUUUAUUACAAACGCUGUAUUUGGCUAGAAGAAAAAUUUAAUACUAAGAUAUAAUAAGCAUGAAUUGGACUAUGAUUUAAAGGAAUUCAUGACUUUCUAAUUUUAACCAUGGAGGAAUUAUUAACACUUUUCUAAGCAGGACAUAAAGCAACAGGAUGAAUCUUGAGCAGAGCUUAUUCAAACAGCCUGUAUGCAGUUCAGAAACUUUUUACUGGGCAUAUUACUAUACCUGUAUCCAGAAAGCAAAUGAUUUAUAACUAGAAUAGCUUUUACUAUGGAAAAUUAAGACACAUGCUCAGCAGAGUAAAAGCAUGGUUAGAAGGAUUCAAUCUGUUUACCAGUGGUUAAUUAUUAAAGUUAUCAAGGAAUCUGUUACUCAGUACAGUGAUUUAUUAAGGAUUUGAAAGAGGCACUACUAUCAGGUAUUGAAAUUGCAGAUAUUGAAGCUGAUCAUGAUAUUGAAAAGAGACCUAUGAUAAUAAUGCAAAUUCAAAGGUUACUGGCAUAAUUUGAUUUAUUUCUGCAGUGAAGAUUUGCAGAUUUAGCAGAUGGAAGUAAUGAUUUUAGUCACAGUAUUAAGAUCUUUUCAGUUAUGAAGCUAAGGGCAGUAGUUCAGAAAUAACAACUUCUAUGCAAUUGUUUGAUAAUUCUGUGCAUAUUUUUACAGCAUAAGAUACUGCUAUAAUUUUAAUAACUGCACAAGGUGGAAAUUUUUCAAAAAGCAAAAAUUGUGUGCAGGCAGACAAAGACCUAAGAUCCCAGCACACAUGGGUCAAUUCAUAAGUAAUUUAUAGAAUGAUAUUUUUAUGAUUAUGGGUUUGAAAAAACAAAUAUUUAAGCAUCUAUACAUGCUGUUUUGAACACACAGCUGCUGGCAUUCUCUGCUCUAGCAGAGGGCCAGAUCUAUAGUACAUCUAUAUCCUGAACAAGCAGGUGAUAUCGUUUAUCAAUGCAAACUGCUGUGGAUUAAUUUCACCCCUGAUAAAUAUCCACUGUAUAUUUUGGAGCAAAAGGUGCAUUUCAGCAUGCUCCUGGCACAAAGGUUGAACUGUGAAAAGUGAUGGGAGAUACUUACUCUCCUGGUUUAUGGGUUCAAGCUCAAAUGAAGAAGUGAGCAAAGUGAUUGCAGAUUUUAUAAAUAACUGUGCACUACUGUCUAUUCCAAACAGCUUGGAAUGGCAGGGCUUUUAACAGCAAUGCAAAGGCUAAAUUACAUAGCUCAUGGCUUACAUGCAAGCUAUGGUACAAAGAGCUCAAAGGAAUUCAUGAGCCCCAAGGUUCAAAAACUGAAGGUAUAUAUGUUCUGUCACUCUCUAACUUUCUAAGACCCAAUGAGGUUUUCAUUUGGGGUCGAGGUCUUGUUUAUAUGUUCACAGAUAAUGAAAACAUCUGGUCACCCACGUCAUGCUUCAUGCCAGCUGAUACAGACCAGGAAGAGAAGCAGACGGAAGGUGAUGGCAUCAGCUACCUACAUGCCAGCCACAAUCCAGACUCGCUGGAAGGACACUUCUUUGGUGACCAAUAUCACUCUAGAACAAUGACAUUACACUAUUAGAGACAUUGGCUAUUAGGCCACUGACGGACACUUGUCAUGCUGCAUUUGAGAUGGGGUACCCAGAGCAACAUCAAGUAUGCUAACUCAGAAGGACAAAAUCACACUUGUGUCUGUACAAGACACCAGAUACAUCCCACAUUCCAAAGACUUUGCGAUGGGAUUGAGAUGAAAUAGCUACAAAUUGCCUAGCUACUAAUGUAUACCUUGUAUUUUGUAUAUGAUACUGUCAAAAGAAAUGUAUAUUGUAUGCAUUGUAAAUCCACCACUUGUAUUGUAAGAAAUGCUGUUAUCAACAAGGGUAUAGACCUUGGUAGGACUCUCCAAAGAGUAGGAGAUAGAAAACUUUCAUCCAUAGGAUAGAUCUGAUACCUCUGACAUCAAAAAUGAGGUGCUAAGCAGAAAAUGCUGCACAGACAGGUUUAAUGGACAGAUGACACUGAUGUUACUCUCAGGAAAGGAUGAGAGAUCAAGGAAAAGACACUAGGAAAUCUUUAAUCGGGAACUUGAGUUAUUGUAAGAGAUCAUUGACAUCCAGGCAAAGAUUAUGUUCCUGACAUUACAUUAAGGGCUGACUACCAGAGAUGUAGUUGAGUGUUAAUACCAUUGCUAACCAUUACUCCUGAUACCCUGUUUUUGUGGGUAAUAUCUUAAUAGGAAAAAUGUCUUGCUCUCCUCCAACAGUCCCAGAAUUCAGACGGCCGCUGGAUUCGGGAUCUAUUGGCUUCCCUUUCAUAUACUGGAAGACGUUCUGGUAUAUGGAAGUAAGACCUCAUGAAAAACUGAGGGCUCUAGGUUUGACAAUUUCUGUGGACGCGCAGUCAUUGUCUCUCCUAGGUGGAAAAAAUUAUUAUUGCACAAAAACAUGGAGCAAGGGCAAAGUAUAAUCUAAGUUUUACUGUUUUGGAGUAUGGAUUAAAAACAUGACACAAUAGGCACAGAUAAGCGUGUAGAAAAAGCACAUUGAAUAUUAUACACUGAUAACUAGGAAUGAAAAAGCUAUGUCAAAUGCUGUAGGUACAAGAAACUGUAGAAAUUGUUUCUACAGGGGAAACAACUUAAGCUUCUAUUUACCCAAACAUUGGUUUGGUGGAAUUAAUUUUGCAAAAAUUGGUAAUGGUAUAGGCUUGGUUAUCAUAUUGAUGGGUUUAUUUAUACAAACAGAGAUUUAAAAUAAGGAAGACAUUAGGAAUAUGCAGUCAGAACUUGAAAUAUUACUUCAUUAUCACCAUCAUGGUUAUUUAAGUUACAAUUGAGAAUGUAAAAUGGAUGGGAAUAUUGAUAUUUGUUAAAAAUUGCACUGUGAUUGAUGUAUUGAUGUUUUUGCAAAGCCUGUAAUGGUGCAAAAUUAUGUUCAUAUACAAGGCGAAUUUUGAUCUAUUUAGAUCAGGAAUUAGAAAUCAUUGGGAAAAUAAGUUCUGAUAUUUUACAUUGGCUCAGUUUCAAAGAUACCACAUAGACAGUGAGCCAAGAGAAUCUUGUAUUAAUUUUGGGAUCAGGUUCCCAGGAUCAAUUUUCUGAAAUCAUUUGACAUGUGAUAACAUGAUCCUCCAGAAAUGUUUAGAGAGGAUGUUUUUCUUUGAAGGGAUCUCUCCCAACACACAAACAAAAAGAAAAGGGAGAGGAAUCUUAUAGAGAUCAGUAUUUAUAUUUUUAGAGGACACUUUUUAAAGUCACUCUUGAUUGAUCAACCUUGAUUUUUUUCUUUUACACUAUUAAGGCCAGAAUUUUUGAGUAUAAAGAAAGUACUGUUAAUGCUCUGAUCCAGAAUUAUGAAGGUGCAAAGAUUUCUAGAAUUACAGUCACCUAACAGUCGGUGAACAUGAGAACAUGACAGCAAUUGUUAAUUUUCAGAUGACCAUACUGGAGAGUGAUGUCUGAUUGCAUGUAAGGGGAAUCAUAAUGAAUCUUUCAUUAUGGACCAGACAGCCUCAGCCACGGUUACAUUUUCCAUGUGAAAUGGAUGUUGGAGGUUGGGAAAUGCAGAGACAUGGCGUACUGACACCCUCAGUUGCUGGAUGUCCUGGCAUCGAGCUACCAACCAGUUUCCUAUGUGGCAGGCAUCUGGCAGUGAGCACGGAAAGAUCCCCAAGAUGCAGUAUCAGGAUAAGAGAAAGGAAGGACUUAUCCUUCAUCUCCAGGGAUAGUAUUUUGCUAACUGUUGAAAAGGCUGACAACUUCUGAUAGUCCAGACUGUGAAUGGUGGCAUGUUUGGUUAUUGCACCUGUCAUGUGAACCAUGGAGUUCUACCUCAUUAGAUCAGGAUCAGUAGCGUGGAAAUUAUUUUCUUAACAUUUUUAUAUCUACUAAGACUGUUGCAUUGAUCUUGAAAUGCAGACAGGCAGAUAGAAAGAUCAGUUUGGGAAUUUUUAAGAUUGAUCACUGAAUCAGUUUAUGCUGAUGUUCAUUCUUGAUUGGGAUAUCUAAGUUAUACAAUCAGGAUAGGUUUUUCAUCUCUGUAUCAGAAUAUGAUUAUGCACCAGAGUGUUUGUAUUUGUUAAGGCUGUAAUGUUGUUACAUUUUGAUAUUACACUAUUCAUUUGUGUGUAAAACAAAAAGGGGGAGAUGUAGCAGCCCAGGGGCAAGGGGAACAGUCAGUCUUGGGCAUGCUCAGUAGUGCUCAUGGCUGGGAAAGCCUCUGACCCUUGACCCCAGCUUCUCCCAGGUUAGGCGGGAAAACAGGUUUCUUUGUUCUCCCCUGGUCAAGAGAAACCACACCUAUGCCUUGUCAUUGACCAAUGAGGGUCAUCCCUAUGUACUACGUAGCAAAUGGUAUUUAUGGCCCAGCAAGCUCCGCCUCGCUCUCUCUCCCCCUCUUUCCUCUUUCAGGCUAGGCGAUGGCUGUCCUUGCAGGAGCUUGGCCUCUGGCCAAGCUCCAUCUUUAAUCUUUCUCCUCAAUAAACGACUCCUCUUUGCAUACCA
Molecule: long non-coding RNA, 6094 nt
Organism: Monodelphis domestica (gray short-tailed opossum)
Lineage: Eukaryota; Metazoa; Chordata; Mammalia; Didelphimorphia; Didelphidae
Source: RefSeq, a predicted model, not a curated record